RNAcentral lists this unclassified non-coding RNA (344 nucleotides) under soil metagenome. Its description in RNAcentral is "partial contains 5.8S ribosomal RNA, internal transcribed spacer 2, and large subunit ribosomal RNA". The stretch from base 1 to 119 matches the Rfam family "5.8S ribosomal RNA", at positions 35 to 154 of the family's 154-position model. The record is from RNAcentral.
GAUGAAGAACGCAGCGAAAUGCGAUACGUAAUGUGAAUUGCAGAAUUCAGUGAAUCAUCGAGUCUUUGAACGCACAUUGCGCCCCCUGGUAUUCCGGGGGCAUGCCUGUCCGAGCGUCAUUGCUGCCCUCAAGCACGGCUUGUGUGUUGGGCCUCCGUCCUCCUCCCGGGGGACGGGCCCGAAAGGUAGCGGCGGCACCGCGUCCGGUCCUCGAGCGUAUGGGGCUUCGUCACCCGCUCUUGUAGGCCCGGCCGGCGCUUGCCGACACAUCAAUCUUUUUUCCAGGUUGACCUCGGAUCAGGUAGGGAUACCCGCUGAACUUAAGCAUAUCAAUAAGCGGAGGA